GGUGAGGAUUGGUGGGAAAAACCAGCUAUGGGGACAGAGGAGAGGGAGGCUAGUGCGGCACAGAGGUGCCUAGGGAAGGAGCUGCGCAGGCAGGAGGGAGGGCGGGCAGGAGGGCAGGGCAGGAGAGCCCGGGGUGGGGAACCCAGGUGAGGCCAGCUCAGGGCUGAGCCCCAGAGGGCCCUGCACAGGUGACACUAGCUCAGGGCUGAGCCCCAGAGGGCCCUGCGCAGGUGAUGCCAACUCAGGGCUGAGCCCCGGAGGACCCUGCACAAAGCAGGCAGCAGCGUUGUGUCCUGGCUUUCCAAGCUUUUCCUUAAAAAAAAUCUAGCG
Molecule: long non-coding RNA, 330 nt
Filed under: Homo sapiens (human)
Lineage: Eukaryota; Metazoa; Chordata; Mammalia; Primates; Hominidae
Description: HSALNT0274750
Source: RNAcentral